Molecule: ribosomal RNA, 197 nt
Filed under: uncultured bacterium
Lineage: Bacteria
Description: partial 16S ribosomal RNA
Rfam family: Bacterial small subunit ribosomal RNA
Source: RNAcentral
ACGCUCGACACCUACGGAGGCAGCAGUGGGGAAUAUUGCACAAUGGGGGAAACCCUGAUGCAGCGACGCCGCGUGAGCGAAGAAGUAUUUCGGUAUGUAAAGCUCUAUCAGCAGGGAAGAAACUGACGGUACCUGACUAAGAAGCACCGGCUAAAUACGUGCCAGCAGCAGCGGUAAUCUGAGCGGGCUGGCAAGGC